RNAcentral lists this non-coding RNA (89 nucleotides) under beta proteobacterium AAP65. RNAcentral describes it as "Burkholderia RNA 7 (anti-hemB)". It matches the Rfam family "Burkholderia RNA 7 (anti-hemB)". From Rfam's summary of the family: This RNA motif was identified by computational search in b-proteobacteria Burkholderia. Co-purified with Hfq, expression confirmed by Northern blot. Lineage: Bacteria; Pseudomonadati; Pseudomonadota; Betaproteobacteria. The record is from Rfam by way of RNAcentral.
UCCCUGCUUUUCCUCCCUGAGCAGGUGCCUUAGCGUGAUGACAGCGAUAAGGCUUACCCGCCCCGGUCCUUGGAUCGGGGCUUUUUUUU